RNAcentral lists this ribosomal RNA (255 nucleotides) under uncultured bacterium. Its description in RNAcentral is "partial 16S ribosomal RNA". It matches the Rfam family "Bacterial small subunit ribosomal RNA", at positions 524 to 777 of the family's 1533-position model. The record is from RNAcentral.
UACGUAGGUGGCAAGCGUUGUCCGGAAUUACUGGGUGUAAAGCGCGUGUAGGCGGCAGGCCAAGUCUGCGGUGAAAGCGCCCGGCUCAACUGGGCGAGGUCCGUGGAAACUGGUCAGCUGGAGGACGGUAGAGGCGAGUGGAAUUCCCGGUGUAGUGGUGGAAUGCGUAGAGAUCCGGAAGAACACCGGAGGCGAAGGCGGCUCUCUGGACCGAGACUGACGCUGAGGCGCGAAAGCGUGGGGGAGCAAACGGGG